Molecule: ribosomal RNA, 417 nt
Filed under: uncultured Pseudoxanthomonas sp.
Lineage: Bacteria; Pseudomonadati; Pseudomonadota; Gammaproteobacteria; Lysobacterales; Lysobacteraceae
Description: bacterial SSU rRNA
Rfam family: Bacterial small subunit ribosomal RNA
Source: RNAcentral
CGGGCGGGUAGCUACACAUGCAGUCGAACGGCAGCACAGGAGAGCUUGCUCUCUGGGUGGCGAGUGGCGGACGGGUGAGGAAUACAUCGGAAUCUACCUUGUCGUGGGGGAUAACGUAGGGAAACUUACGCUAAUACCGCAUACGACCUUCGGGUGAAAGUGGGGGACCUUCGGGCCUCACGCGAUUAGAUGAGCCGAUGUCGGAUUAGCUAGUUGGAGGGGUAAUGGCCCACCAAGGCGACGAUCCGUAGCUGGUCUGAGAGGAUGAUCAGCCACACUGGAACUGAGACACGGUCCAGACUCCUACGGGAGGCAGCAGUGGGGAAUAUUGGACAAUGGGCGCAAGCCUGAUCCAGACAUACCGCGUGGGUGAAGAAGGCCUUCGGGUUGUAAAGCCCUUUUGUUGGGAAAGAAAUC